Molecule: long non-coding RNA, 836 nt
Filed under: Monodelphis domestica (gray short-tailed opossum)
Lineage: Eukaryota; Metazoa; Chordata; Mammalia; Didelphimorphia; Didelphidae
Description: lncRNA (ENSMODG00000051364.1)
Source: RNAcentral
CCCACUGUUUCAGCAGACUGAGAGUAGCAGAGAUAUGAUUUUAUCCAGCAGGAGAGUGGCUCCAAAUAAGAAGACCACCGAGCAGGUGACAUAUGGUGCCAAAUGUAGGCUGUCAGCAGAGAAAGACUGAGAUGCAAGUAAUGAGACAAAGAGAUGAGCUUGGGUUCACAAAGGAACAUUUGGAGGAAAAAUCUCUGCAAGUGCCAAUGUAUGACUGUGAGAGAUGGACUUCAAAGAAAGAUAUGAGUCACAGAAUCAAUACUUUCAAUUUGUGGUGCUUCACAAACCUUUUCAGCCUCCCCUGGAUAUCAAGGAGAUCAAAUCAGUCAAAACCUAAAGAAAAGAUUUCAGAGUAUUCACCAGAAGGUCAAAUGCCAAUGUACAUUAUGAGAGGGCAGGAAUCAUUGGAAAAGACUCUGAUGUUGGGAAAGAUCAAAAGCAAAAGAAGAGGAGGAGACAGCUAUAUACUGUCAAGAAAGCAAUGAAAGUCUUCGAUUUGACUUUGGAGGGGCUUGGGCUUGAUAUCUCAGACUACUUCCCUUUGGACUGACAAGUGGUGAGUGAAGAACUGACUCCCUUUCCUUGGAUUUCUAAAGGGACUAGCCUCAGGAGAGAUCUACCCUUUUGAGAGAGGCUCCCCGUAUCCCCAGGUCCUUGACUCAAAGCUGAGGCCCCUUCGGCUAAGGUUUAACUAGCCCUGCCUGGGUUGAGCCAGGGUCAGACCAAAUACUUAGUUUGUAACCUAAAUAUUUUGCCCUAUCCUCUCUCUGAUUUUCUUACUUUCACUCUUUCUAGAUUUUAUGAAUAAAUUAUCAAAAUAAAUCUCUUUGGAAUCA